This 3986-nucleotide long non-coding RNA is filed under the name Sus scrofa (pig). RNAcentral describes it as "lncRNA (ENSSSCG00035030410.1)". The stretch from base 1287 to 1400 matches the Rfam family "FAM13A antisense RNA 1 conserved region 1". Lineage: Eukaryota; Metazoa; Chordata; Mammalia; Artiodactyla; Suidae. The record is from RNAcentral.
AAAGUGAGACACAGCAAAAAAAUUUUCAGUACUUUUUUUUUCGUUUUUGGCCUCCUCCAUUGCAUAUGGAAGUUCCCAGGCCAAAAAACUGAAUCCAGGCCAGAGCUGUGACCUACGCCCCAGCUGUGGCAACACCAAAACCUUAACCCACUGCACCGGACUGGGGAUUGAACCAGCGACUCCACAGAGGCAAGCCAGAUCAUUAACCCACUGCGCCACAGUGGGAACUGCAGCUUUUCAAUACAUUUUUAAGAACAAUUACCGUGUUCUCUUUUACCAGACUUAAUAGACGGUUUCAAGUUGGUGAAGAGGAGUUCCUGGUGUGGUGCAGCGGGUUCAGGAUCCAGCAUUGUCUCUGUGGCAGCACGGGUUCAAUCCCUGGCCCAGUGCAGUGGGUUAAGGAUCUGGUGUUGCAGUGGCUGUGGUGGCGUAAAAGUCACAGCUGCUGCUUGGAUUUGAUCCCUGGCCCAGGAACUUCCAUGUGCUGUGGGUGCAGCCGAAAAAAUAAAGAACAGUAGCUUUCCAGUAAUAAGUUCCAUUUAACAGGCAGUUACUAGCAUACGUAUGUGCUCAGUUUGAGGGACAAAAAAAGUCUACUAUGUUUGAUUUUGAAUGGAAAUAGCCAAGUUGUUUUAAAUGUCUGGUCUCAGAAUCUUCAUGUAUGAAAUCAGGAGAGUGGACGAGAUAAUUUCUAAGGGCCCUUGCAACUCUAAAAUUCUAAAAUUCCAUCACCACAAGCAGUGCUUGCAUAUAGAGAGGCUCCAUAAGUUCUUCUAAAUAUUUGUUGCAUGAAUGAAAGUCUUUUCUAGAGACUAUUUCUCUGGCCUGUCUUCCUCUUUUCUCUUCAUUACUGCUUUAGAAGAAGACACCUUAGAUGGACGUUUCUAGAUUGACCUACCUACCUCCUCUCCCUCUUGUGCAAACGUUUAGAAAUUUCUUCACUGUUUUCAGAAAAGUACCAAUGUAAUGAAAAAAGAAUUUCAUUAAAUUAAGGCAACUUUUGGUGAGUGGGAUUUAACAAAAGUGGAACCAGGCAAUUUAAUCAAGUUGAUAUCUCAUCUCCCUGUGCAAGCUUUUGGUGACUAGAAUGGGUGCUUCUCUGUUGAUAAAUCCUGGAGAGCUGAGGUUGGCAAAUGAUAUAGCCCAUAACCUAAAAUGGGUUUUACUCUCUUUAGAAAAGGAUCGGGGCGGGGGGGGGAAAGGAUAUGUGAUUACAAUUGCCUGGCCUACAAAGCCUAACAUUUGGCCCUUCACAGAAAAAGAUUUGCCCCCGGGUUUUUGAGCCUAGACUUGUAGAAAUCACAAUACGAGUGGGUGACAUACUAACAUCUUAGAAGGAUCUUUGUCACAGUUGACACUGAACCGGAGAGAACAAGUGUCUGGGCCUUGCUGCCACAGGGAGAAGAAGAAUCAAGUUUUGUCUAAGAUUUAACCCACAGAAAUUGUCAUCAAGGUUUUUUUUGUUUUGUUUUUUUGGGGUUUUUUUUUGUCUUUUUGCCAUUUCUUGGGCCACUCCCGCGGCAUAUGGAGGUUUCUAGGUUAGGGGUCUCAUCAGAGCUGUAGCCGCCGGCCUACGCCAGAGCCACAGCAACGCGGGAUCCGAGCCGCAUCUGCAACCUACACCACAGCUCAGGGCAAUGCUGGAUCCUUAACCUACUGAGCAAGGCCAGGGAGCGAACCCGCCACCUCACGGUUCCUAGUUGGAUUCGUUAACCACUGAGCCACAGGAACUCCCAUAAAUUGUCAUCAAGGUUUUGACUGUAAUAUUACCUACCGAUGGUGCCCAGGCCCUGCACAGGCGUUCCCUGUGCACUAUUCACUUUACUUGUCACCACUGCCCUCCGGGCCUGACCACUAACUGGCUGUGUUACCUUGGGCAGGUUUCUUAAUCUCUCUGCACCUCAUUUUUUUUCCUGUUUAAAAUGGGGUUAUAAAUAGUGCCUUCUUCAUGGAGUUUUUGUUUUUUGUUUUUUAUUUUUUUUUUGAGGGCCGCACCCUAGGCAUAUGGAGGUUCCCAGGCUAGGGGUCUCUUCAGAGCUGUAGCCGCCGGCCUACGCCAGAGCCACAGCAACGUGGGAUCCGAGCCGCGUCUGCGACCUACACCACAGCUCAGGGCAACGCUGGAUCCUUAACCUACUGAGCAAGGCCAGGGAGCGAACCCGCCACCUCACAGUUCCUAGUCGGAUUCGUUUCUGCUGCGCCACGACAGAAACGCCUUCAUGGAGUUGUUAUGAGAAGUAAAUGGGUUAGUUAGUGGAAAUCACACAGAACAGUGCCUGGCAUCCAGCAAGCUCACAGUAAAUAUAAUUACCAUAUUUAUCUGAAUUUUUCACAUGAAGAAAUGAAUUUUUAGAUGCAAUAACUUGCCUCACUAUCAAAGUGGUGGGACAUGGACUUGACCACUCUUCGGUGUUACGGCAGCUACUAGAGGUGGGCAGCAAGUUUGGGUAGAGAUGGGCAGCUAGAGAUGAGGUUGCCUAGUGGCCAAACAAAAGGAGACAUUGUGAUACACCGGGUAACUUCCCUGACCACUCAUCUCCAGAGACGUUGUAGUGACCUUUGUUUUCCUGCCACUGUGCAGUUCAGUAGGGCAUUCUAUGCCACUGCGUCGCUGGGUAAGUUGGGGGGGUACUCUGUGGGCAUUUAAUGGUCAGCCUAAUGUCUUACCGUAAUAUAAUUUGUAACAUCAUGACCUAGUGUCACAACUUCUCCCAGACCAUGGUUUGCAGUUGAUGGUCGAGAGGUAGCUUCCAAGUUGGUGAACAUGUAGAGGUGCUGGGAGAGUGUCAUGCCUGGAAAGGGCAUCACAGGGCUGUUACCCCCCACAUACUUUGCCCCAUGUGUCCCUUCCAUCUGGCUGUAACUGAGUACAGGACUGGGGGUGAUGUCACCAAAAUGGCAGUGUAGGAUACCCAGCCUCCAUCCCCAUACACAGAUCAGCAAUUAGCUACCCAGGACCAAAAAGAACUGCUCUGGGAGAGCUCUGGAGUCCACUUAAGAAACUUCAGCAAUGCAGUGGAACAAAAAACCUGAGAAUAACCAUACAAAGAGGGGAAGAGAGUGUCAUUCUGCCUGUAUUGUCCCAUCCCUAAAGCCAACAUUGCUCCAUGCCCAUAGGGAGCUCCCAGCUAGAAAGAGGAUCCUUCUCUAGGAAAAGGGAAGUGGGUUGAGUCACCAGCUUCCCCAGCCUUUCAGGGCACCACAGGAAAGUCCCACUUCAAUUUCACCCCACCCAGAGACUGGCAAAGCUGAGAUACACAGAGAUGGCUAGGAACAAGGAAGAAAAGCACAGGCUACUAGAGCAGGCACAUAGGAGGAGCAACCACUGUUCGAAGCCACCUGCUUUACAGACAAAUUCACCAGCGUUCACCCCACAGGUAUUUGCAUUCACUGACAUCAGCCACUUUCCCUACUAUUUUCUCCCCAGCCUGUGCUGCUCUGGCCCCUCCUACAGCCGAGGUACCACAACAGCAGCCAGACCAAGCUCUAUAGAAGUACAAAACACAAGCCUAGACAGCCCAUCACUAUGUUUGCACUUACAGCUAGGCCCUCCAGCUGUGUGUGUGCACACUGCCAGCCUGACACCGGCCACUUGCCUCCAUUGCUGUGCAUGCACCUGACACAGACUGUGCAGCUACAGGAGAAUAUGCAGACUGCCAGAGACUUUUGCAGCUGCCUAUAGUUGGCCCUGGUUCUUGCUGCUUGCCUUGGCACCCACCACUAAGUGUGUGUCUGCAACUAGCCCCUGCCAUUACAUAGGCAUCUGUAGCUGCCCCAUGCAGCUGAGUGUGUAUAUACCACUAGUUCCAACCAUCACUACUGUCUGUCCUGGCCCCUGGAUCUGGAGGUGCUGCUGAGGACCCAACAGCCAUUGCAGCUUUAGUGGCCUCCUGCAGCAUUCAUCAGGGACCACACAGUUGUUGAUGCCAUGGGCCCCAGCAAUCUGAGCCCAAGAGAAACCAUGUUCUCCUACACCCAUUGCUGCC